RNAcentral lists this unclassified non-coding RNA (410 nucleotides) under Melitaea cinxia (Glanville fritillary). RNAcentral's name for it is "misc RNA ENSMCXG00005009604.1". The record is from RNAcentral. Lineage: Eukaryota; Metazoa; Arthropoda; Insecta; Lepidoptera; Nymphalidae.
UUAAUGUUCGUUAUUCUAUAGAAAGUUUAUUUCACACUACACUAUAAGUUAAAUAAUAAGGCCACAUAUGAAACAACAGUUUAUUUUACACCACACAGAAGUACAGUUAAAUAUAUAGGUAGAAUAAUCAACAGCGAUAGUGAAGUGAGCGGAGAAAUUAAUCAGCGAAAGAAAAGGAAAUAAUAGCGCGUAUAUAAUAUAAGCUAAACACAGCAAUACGAUAAUCUAAGCGUUCGCGAAAUAUAAAAUGAAAAAGCAAGCGACGUGGAGAUCAGCUGAAGUCGUGCGGUCAACUGGCGCCGGAGUCGCUCGGCGGCCGGCGCGCGCGGGCAUUGACUUCCACCUGUCGUCCCGUUAUCCGAGUCUUCAAUUGCACCGUAUUGCUAUUUUAAUGCGUAGUAUUAAAUAUA